Molecule: long non-coding RNA, 708 nt
Organism: Peromyscus eremicus (cactus mouse)
Lineage: Eukaryota; Metazoa; Chordata; Mammalia; Rodentia; Cricetidae
Exons: 4
Source: RefSeq, a predicted model, not a curated record
UUUAUUGAUUGAAAAAUCCGUGUGGGAGAUGAGAAGGCCCUCUGACAGGAAGGCUGGUGGCAUGUGUCUGGUGACUUUUCUAUAAACUGCCUGAAGAAUUUUACUGAAGAGCAAAGGACAGCUUCAGUUGAAUAGAUUUCCCAAGAGCUUAAUUCUUCACCGAUCCAGUGUUUCUGACCCUUGACAGUCCGCAUGAAUACUGCAGGCGUAUUGGAGGGUAAGCCCUGAAGUAUUGAGCAACAUCUAAUAGUACCAUGACUGCUGUAUCUGAUAGGACUGGAAGACUUCCUUCAUCACUCUCCGCUCAGGAAGUCUGUGUUCACAGAUCACUGCUUGCCUGCUGAAAUUGCCAUUGUCUCUACCGUAUCCUCCAGAGAGGACACUGCUUUUUCCUGAGUUACUUCCAGAAUACAGACUAGUUCUUCAACUGCCACAAACACAUGUACUUUCAAAAGACUGUGCAUCGUGUUCAGACUUCAGACCCCUUGGAGACUAAGCACUUGAGCAAAUCUCUUCGAUAGCAAGCUAAGUCAAUGGUGUUGGCGGUGGAAGGACCACCAAGUGGAGUUCUUAGAAAGACUGCAGUGUGGACGCGGGGAAGCACUACACAAGAGAUGCAAAUGAAGUUGUCUGAGGGAGCAAAGGACUACUUCUUAACUGGGGAAACCGAGACCUCCAGAGAGAGCGUUGCGGUUGAAUUGAGCCCUA